CAAAGCGUAGCUUAAUACAUAAAGCCCCUUGUUUACACCAAGACUAUAUUUGUUUAAACCAAAUCGCUUUGA
This 72-nucleotide transfer RNA is filed under the name Ingerana tenasserimensis. Its description in RNAcentral is "tRNA-Val". Lineage: Eukaryota; Metazoa; Chordata; Amphibia; Anura; Dicroglossidae. The record is from RNAcentral.